Long non-coding RNA from Homo sapiens (human), 950 nucleotides. The record is from Ensembl. NCBI's taxonomy places the organism in Eukaryota, Metazoa, Chordata, Mammalia, Primates, Hominidae.
AAGAUGGCCGUCUGGUGGGACACUUGGUAUCAUGUGCCCUUCCCGCUCCAUGGCUUGGAAUGGAAUUUGUGCUGGCCGUUAACGUUCUUGAAUGCAUUUCCCUCUGAGCUUGGAUAGAGGGUAAUCAACAUGCUGACACCAAGCUACAAUUUUUCUCCUGAAGCACAAAAGGAAAUGAAGGCUUGACUAGCACUGCAAGGCUGUGAGUUAGGAAACGGGAAACAAGAUGCUCCUGCUGCUGUUGGAGUCUUGAGUUGUUCCUGAAAUGAGACUGUGGCAUCCCCUGAGAACAAGGCAUGAUGCAGAAUUGCACAAUCUAGGUGCCUGUAUUUCAGCUGGCAAAGCUCCCACCUCUGCCUCAGACUCCUUGUCCUGCCACGCAGGCUCCAGACAGUGACACUAAAACAUUGCUCUGUAUGGUAAUUUGUCUGAAAAAUAGCUUUAGAACUGUACCAGCUUUAUGGCUCAACAAUUGGAGCAUUUAGGUGAAAUUUGGAACCCAGCCAUUAAGAGAACUGCUAGAGAAAAACAUGACAGUAAAAUCAAAUUUCAAAUCAGCAUCACUUACCAUAUGGGAAACUGCAAAUUCAGCAAAAGGGAAGGCAAUGCUGAAAUUCACCUUCAAAGCUAAAUAUUGUUCCUUAGACCAAUUUCAACCUCGAAUUCAUUUGAAUUUCCUUUAUGUCUGGUUACAUCUGAAGUGAAGUAAUUAGCAAUAGGCUUGUUAGAUUUUUCUUUCCUUAUGGAAUUUUUUUUUUUUUCAGAGAGACAAUGAUCACUUAUGAGGUCAUAUUUGUCACAGGAAUGGCAAAGACUAAAGUGAUUCCCACCAUUUUUUAGGAUGAGCCACUUUUUUGUUUUCCUAGCAAGUUUAACUUUAUUGAGUUUAACUUCAUGAAGUUAGCAUACUAAUUAAUUUUAAUUACUAAAGUUAACCCAAUGUAAAUACA